CUCGUCAGUGAUGCUGAAUGACAAAAAAGGACUAGCAAAGCACGAGUUCGAAGAGCAUUUAGGACCAACAAUUCCUAAAAGUUUUGCCAAAUAUAACUACAUUAACUGUAAGGUGAUCUCUUCCUGAGUUAGAAAAGCCUUAUUAUUUCAAAAAAUCAAAGAUUGUUAACACUUAUUUAUAAUUAUGACAAUAUGUAAACACUCUUGUCUUCUAUAAACAAAACUUAUGAUACAGGACUAAAGCCAGCAAAUCAAAUUAAAGGAGUUAUGUUUCAUUUAACCACAUAUGUGAAAAAGCGGGUGCAAUAUAUUCCAACCAACAAGGAAGGAGAUAACGGGUACAUAUCAAUGAGACAGCAACCAACAAGGAAGGAGAUAACGGGUACAUAUCAAUGAGACAGCAACCAACAAGGAAGGAGAUAACGGGCACAUAUCAAUGAGACAACAACCAACAAGGAAGGAGAUAACAGCACUUAUUAUACCACUUCAUCCCGGCCCCACCACCAUUUAUAAAAUUGUUGUAAGGCUUCAAGUGCGAUUGGAUCGAUAUAAAAAUAGUUUUAAAAUAUCACACAAAUAAAUUCAUUAUCAUUGUAAAUAAUUGCAAAUGCUUAAAGUAUUUCUGUUCGUACAUAUGUACAAAUAUUUGUGGUCGUAAAAUAUUUC
RNAcentral lists this long non-coding RNA (666 nucleotides) under Mytilus galloprovincialis (Mediterranean mussel). Lineage: Eukaryota; Metazoa; Mollusca; Bivalvia; Mytilida; Mytilidae. The record is from RNAcentral.